GGUGGAGAGAGUGAGGAGGAAGAGGAGGAGGUGCCGUCCCACAAUACCAGGCGGGAGGGCGGGUAGGCGGUUUGUAUCCGGGCUGUGAGGUGCUCCGAGCCUCGGCGGACCUUGCUGCCUCUGUCUCUUUAACGUGAGAGGAAGCGAUGCGGAGGGGUGGAAAAUGGCAGAGCUGCAGAUGUUACUAGAGGAGGAGAUUCCAUCUGGCAAGAGGGCGCUGAUAGAGAGUUACCAAAACCUGACCCGGGUGGCGGACUACUGUGAAAACAACUACAUACAGGUGAGGAGCGCGGACGAGCGAACAGCGGGCGCUG
This 314-nucleotide long non-coding RNA is filed under the name Marmota monax (woodchuck). The record is from RNAcentral. Lineage: Eukaryota; Metazoa; Chordata; Mammalia; Rodentia; Sciuridae.